GGGAAACAGAAGAGGGGCCAGCCUCAGGCCCCACAACAAACUGGGGCA
Molecule: non-coding RNA, 48 nt
Organism: Papio anubis (olive baboon)
Lineage: Eukaryota; Metazoa; Chordata; Mammalia; Primates; Cercopithecidae
Source: Rfam